Molecule: ribosomal RNA, 292 nt
Filed under: uncultured bacterium
Lineage: Bacteria
Description: partial 16S ribosomal RNA
Source: RNAcentral
GGACUACAGGGGUUUCUAAUCCUGUUUGAUCCCCUUGCUCUCGCGCCUCAGCGUCAGGUAUAAGCUAGAUAACCGCUUUCGCCACCGGUGUUCUUCCACAUAUCUACGCAUUUCACCGCUACACGUGGAAUUCCGUUAUCUCCGCCAAUCCUCUAGUCCUAUAGUUUCAAAUGCAGCUCCGAAAUUGAGUUUCGGAAUUUCACAUCUGACUUACAGAACCGCCUACGCGCCCUUUACGCCCAAUAAUUCCGAUUAAUGCUUGCACCCUCCGUAUUACCGCGGCUGCUGGCAC